GAUGAACGCUGGCGGCGUGCCUAAUACAUGCAAGUCGAGCGAACGGACGAGAAGCUUGCUUCUCUGAUGUUAGCGGCGGACGGGAGAGUAACACGUGUAUAACCUACCUAUAUGACUGGGAUAACUUCGGGAAACCGGAGCUAAUACCGGAUAAUAUUGUGAACCGCAUGGGGCAAAAGGGAAAGACGGUCUUGCUGUCACUUAUAGAUGCAUCCGCGCUGCAUUAGCUAGUUGGUAAGGUAACGGCUUACCAAGGCAACGAUGCAUAGCCGACCUGAGAGGGUGAGCGGCCACACUGGAACUGAGACACGGUCCAGACUCCUACGGGAGGCAGCAGUAGGGAAUCUUCCGCAAUGGGCGAAAGCCUGACGGAGCAACGCCGCGUGAGUGAUGAAGGUCUUCGGAUCGUAAGACUCUGUUAUUAGGGAAGAACAUAUGUGUAAGUAACUGUGCACAUCUUGACGGUACCUAAUCAGAAAGCCACGGCUAACUACGUG
RNAcentral lists this ribosomal RNA (497 nucleotides) under uncultured bacterium. RNAcentral describes it as "partial 16S ribosomal RNA". It matches the Rfam family "Bacterial small subunit ribosomal RNA", at positions 28 to 507 of the family's 1533-position model. The record is from RNAcentral.